UUAAAAACAGUUUUUGAAAACAUUAACUUUGGGAGUUAAUAGAUAGUGUUACUAUUUUUAAA
RNAcentral lists this transfer RNA (62 nucleotides) under Planorbarius corneus. RNAcentral's name for it is "tRNA-Pro". Lineage: Eukaryota; Metazoa; Mollusca; Gastropoda; Planorbidae. The record is from RNAcentral.